Molecule: ribosomal RNA, 165 nt
Filed under: uncultured bacterium
Lineage: Bacteria
Description: partial 16S rRNA
Rfam family: Bacterial small subunit ribosomal RNA
Source: RNAcentral
UAGGGAAUCUUUCCACAAUGGGCGAAAGCCUGAUGGAGCAACGCCGCGUGUGUGAUGAAGGGUUUCGGCUCGUAAAACACUGUUGUAAGAGAAGAAUGACAUUGAGAGUAACUGUUCAAUGUGUGACGGUAUCUUACCAGAAAGGAACGGCUAAAUACGCGCCAG